AGGACGAACGCUGGCGGCGUGCUAAUACAUGCAAGUCGAGCGAGCUACUUCGGUAGCGAGCGGCGCACGGGUGAGUAACGCGUAGAUGAUCUACCCUCGAGACUGAGAUACCUCCGGGAAACUGGAGUUAAUACCAGAUAACGCACAUUUGUUGGUUCAGAUGUGUUAAAGCGGUGCAAGUCGCACUUGAGGAUGAGUCUGCGGCCUAUCAGCUAGUUGGUGGGGUAACGGCCUACCAAGGCGAAGACGGGUAGCUGAUCUGAGAGGAUGAUCAGCCACAUUGGGACUGAGACACGGCCCAAACUCCUACGGGAGGCAGCAGUAGGGAAUAUUGCGCAAUGGGGGGAACCCUGACGCAGCGACGCCGCGUGAGUGAAUGACGGCCAUUUUGGUUGUAAAGCUCUGUAAAGAGGGAAAAAUGUUGCAGUGAAGAGCUGCAAUUGAUGGUACCUCUAAAGUAAGGACCGGCUAAAUACGUGCCAGCCGCUGC
This 490-nucleotide ribosomal RNA is filed under the name uncultured bacterium. RNAcentral describes it as "bacterial SSU rRNA". It matches the Rfam family "Bacterial small subunit ribosomal RNA", at positions 26 to 518 of the family's 1533-position model. The record is from RNAcentral.